RNAcentral lists this ribosomal RNA (468 nucleotides) under Triticum aestivum (bread wheat). RNAcentral describes it as "partial small subunit ribosomal RNA". The record is from RNAcentral. Lineage: Eukaryota; Viridiplantae; Streptophyta; Magnoliopsida; Poales; Poaceae.
AUGGCGACCAAGAGGAGCGUGGGCACCCCUGGGCCACAAGGACCUCAGGAGCAGAAUGUGUUCCUUCGUGCCGAUCUGAACAUUCUGCUGGACGACGACCGGAACAUCACCGAGGACAACCGCAUCCGCGCCUCCGUGCCAUCCGUGCCGUUCCUCAAGUUCCUCAUGGGGAAGGCCACCAAGGUCAUCCUAGCCAACAAUCUGUGGCUCCUGCCGCUUGCCACUCCUCACUUGCCGGCCCGUUCGCCACUAGCCGUCGGCCCCUGCCCGCCCGCCUCUCCUGUGGUGCACGGUGCCCGACCCGGCUCUGUAUGUCCGCCUCCCUCGUGCUGCUCGUUGGUCGCCCCCAUCAUUCAGCCUCUUGUGUGGCGCACGGCUGUAUGCCUGUACCUGCUUGAUGUCGGGAGCAACACCACAGGAUGGCCGUGCCGCGCCUUCAUCUCAGACCUCACCGACUUAGGAUUGUAG